Molecule: ribosomal RNA, 835 nt
Filed under: Salmonella enterica
Lineage: Bacteria; Pseudomonadati; Pseudomonadota; Gammaproteobacteria; Enterobacterales; Enterobacteriaceae
Description: partial 23S ribosomal RNA
Rfam family: Bacterial large subunit ribosomal RNA
Source: RNAcentral
GACACUGAACAUUGAGCCUUGAUGUGUAGGAUAGGUGGGAGGCUUUGAAGUGUGGACGCCAGUCUGCAUGGAGCCGACCUUGAAAUACCACCCUUUAAUGUUUGAUGUUCUAACGUGGACCCGUUACCCGGGUUGCGGACAGUGUCUGGUGGGUAGUUUGACUGGGGCGGUCUCCUCCUAAAGAGUAACGGAGGAGCACGAAGGUUGGCUAAUCCUGGUCGGACAUCAGGAGGUUAGUGCAAUGGCAUAAGCCAGCUUGACUGCGAGCGUGACGGCGCGAGCAGGUGCGAAAGCAGGUCAUAGUGAUCCGGUGGUUCUGAAUGGAAGGGCCAUCGCUCAACGGAUAAAAGGUACUCCGGGGAUAACAGGCUGAUACCGCCCAAGAGUUCAUAUCGACGGCGGUGUUUGGCACCUCGAUGUCGGCUCAUCACAUCCUGGGGCUGAAGUAGGUCCCAAGGGUAUGGCUGUUCGCCAUUUAAAGUGGUACGCGAGCUGGGUUUAGAACGUCGUGAGACAGUUCGGUCCCUAUCUGCCGUGGGCGCUGGAGAACUGAGGGGGGCUGCUCCUAGUACGAGAGGACCGGAGUGGACGCAUCACUGGUGUUCGGGUUGUCAUGCCAAUGGCACUGCCCGGUAGCUAAAUGCGGAAGAGAUAAGUGCUGAAAGCAUCUAAGCACGAAACUUGCCCCGAGAUGAGUUCUCCCUGAGACUUAGAGUCUCCUGAAGGAACGUUGAAGACGACGACGUUGAUAGGCCGGGUGUGUAAGCGCAGCGAUGCGUUGAGCUAACCGGUACUAAUGAACCGUGAGGCUUAACCUUACAACGCCGAAGCUGUU